CUGCCGCCGCAGCCCAGGCUUGGCUCCCCCUGCUUCCCGGGCUCCUCACACGCUUCUGGAGCUCCUCACACAGCCGAGCCCAGACUGCGGCGGCGAGAGGGGCUCAUAGAGUCAGGGCUGCCCAGGCUGGGGGGGGCAAGUGUGGCAAUUUUCCCCAGGCUCCGGUCCCACAGGGUAUGUCGGAGGCUCUCCCCUCCUCCGUCUUCCCCCAUCCCCCGGUGUCUCAGCUGGUAAGGGGGCGGGGCUGAGAGCUGCAGCCGAGCGGCGGGAACUCAGGCCCUGCUGGAGACACCACGCCACUGCAGUGCUGUUGGGAAUAGGGGCCGAAACCCUCUCUUUGGGCUCGUUAUACCAGUAUAAAUCUUAAGUACCCUGUGAUGCUGGUGGACCAGGUACCAGCUCUUGCUAAGGCUGUAGACAUCAGCUGAGCAGAGAUAAAUUCAUGGCUGGAAACCAGACCAGCUCACCUGUAGACAGGAGGAGUGGCUUACCCAGCCCAUCAAGAAGGAGUAUCAAUACUAAGUGGGCCAUUGUGAAACAUCAUGAUACAAACAGUGGGCUAGGCCCUCUCACAGCAGUAAAGGUGCUAUGUGCAAGCAAGCUUAUCCCAUCAACUUGAAUUAUGGAAGAAAGAAACAAAGAUUGCUGAAAAUGAAAAUUCCUCAUCUCUUUGCUGUUUGGACUCUCUCGCAGGGCUGGAGCUAGGAAACAAAAGGAGAGAUCCCCUGGGUUAGCCCUAAAACACUAAUUGCUGACAGAUUAGUACAUUUCUUUCACCUUUUGGAACCAUAGACUGUAAGUCAUUUGUACUAUAUGUUGCCUGCUUUAACCUGUAAAUAACUCUCAUUUCUUUUUCCUAGUUAAUAAACCUUUAGUUAGUUUAUUACAGGACUGGCUACAAGCAUUGUCAUUAGUAUGAGACCUGAGAUACAAGUUGACCUGGGGUAAGUGACUGGUCUCUUGGGCCUGGGAGCAACCUGAAUAUUUUGUGAUCUUUGGUGUAAGUGACUAUUUAUUACUAAGUCCA
Long non-coding RNA from Gopherus evgoodei (Goodes thornscrub tortoise), 1027 nucleotides. RefSeq lists it as uncharacterized. NCBI's taxonomy places the organism in Eukaryota, Metazoa, Chordata, Testudines, Testudinidae. The transcript is spliced from 3 exons. The record is from RefSeq and is a predicted model, not a curated record.